RNAcentral lists this ribosomal RNA (421 nucleotides) under Nocardioidaceae bacterium Ellin7159. RNAcentral's name for it is "bacterial SSU rRNA". It matches the Rfam family "Bacterial small subunit ribosomal RNA", at positions 38 to 475 of the family's 1533-position model. Lineage: Bacteria; Bacillati; Actinomycetota; Actinomycetes; Propionibacteriales; Nocardioidaceae. The record is from RNAcentral.
GGCGGCGUGCUUAACACAUGCAAGUCGAGCGGUAAGGCCCCUUCGGGGGUACACGAGCGGCGAACGGGUGAGUAACACGUGAGCAACCUACCCUCAACUUUGGGAUAAGCCUCGGAAACGGGGUCUAAUACCGGAUAACAUCGAUCACCUCCUGGUGGUUGGUUGAAAGUUCUGGCGGUUGGGGAUGGGCUCGCGGCCUAUCAGCUUGUUGGUGGGGUAAUGGCCUACCAAGGCGUCGACGGGUAGCCGGCCUGAGAGGGCGACCGGCCACCCUGGGACUGAGACACGGCCCAGACUCUACGGGAGGCAGCAGUGGGGAAUAUUGCGCAAUGGACGAAAGUCUGACGCAGCAACGCCGCGUGAGGGAUGACGGCCUUCGGGUUGUAAACCUCUUUCAGCAGGGACGAAGCGAGAGUGACGG